AUUAAGAGGAGUUGAAGAACAACUCCCCUUCUCUCUCGGCCAAAGUGGAGAAAAAAAAACCAAGACCAUUUUUAGCCUUCUCAAAAAUAAUUCCUUGAUACAAACCCACUAUAUUGAAGUCCCUAAGUAGCGUGGAAGAGUUGUUUGGGUCAUCUAACCAUUCAUUGUGUCCAAUUGCAAACCCUAGCCAUUUGUGGUAUUGAAGAAGAAAGACCUUGGGGAGCCCGAGGAGUAGAUUGGGAUUAACUUUAGGUUGGCUAUCUUGGAGGGCGUUCGAGGUACAGACGCACAGUUUGGUGAUCCACCAGUCUAGGACACCCUCUUCUGCUAUUUGGAGUGCUCUUCUCAUUCCAGAGCCUACAUUUUGGUAUAUAUAUUUUGUUCGCUGUGUAUGUAUAUAUUUGAUCAGGGGUACGGCGGGGCCCUGUCCCGCCAUAUGUUUUGACUGGUCUGUUUAGAGGUCUGUAGACGUAUUUGUGGGUGUGUGCGCCUACUUCUGUUCAGAUGCGAUUGUAGGAUCCUAUAUGGUUAUGGUAGCCUUGUCGGCGUGCAUUCUGUAUAUGUUUUGGGCCGUUGUGUCAUUUGAUAGCCUUGCCGGCUUUUUGACAUAUAUAUAUAUAUAUAUAUAUAUAUCCGCAUACGGUUGCGUUGAGAUGUGUUUGAACAGUUUGAUAUGGUUUGAGACGGCAUAGAGUAUUUAUGGCCGUAUAUGCUAUUGUGUGUGAUUUGAUUGAAUAAAUACGUCAGGGUACCCAACUAGGGCGCCAGUCACGGCCUACGGGGCUGGGUCGUGACACUGCUACCUCCCACCAGCAAUAGGUACCAAGUAACUCUAUCCACCAAGACUAGGACAGAUGGAAAGAAAUCACCUAGUGUUUUUUUCAACUU
Long non-coding RNA from Lycium barbarum (goji berry), 888 nucleotides. RefSeq lists it as uncharacterized. The record is from RefSeq and is a predicted model, not a curated record. NCBI's taxonomy places the organism in Eukaryota, Viridiplantae, Streptophyta, Magnoliopsida, Solanales, Solanaceae. The transcript is spliced from 3 exons.